ACUCCUACGGGACGCAGCAGUGGGGAAUAUUGGACAAUGGGCGAAAGCCUGAUCCAGCAAUGCCGCGUGAGUGAUGAAGGCCUUAGGGUUGUAAAGCUCUUUUACCCGGGAUGAUAAUGACAGUACCGGGAGAAUAAGCUCCGGCUAACUCCGUG
RNAcentral lists this ribosomal RNA (155 nucleotides) under uncultured bacterium. RNAcentral describes it as "partial 16S ribosomal RNA". It matches the Rfam family "Bacterial small subunit ribosomal RNA", at positions 335 to 507 of the family's 1533-position model. The record is from RNAcentral.